UUUGGUAGAAUUUAAAAUGCCCAAGUAGUGCUGGGCGAUAAAUCGGUUUUAUCGAUUAACUCGAAUGUGUAUUUAACGUUGACUUGUUUUAAAUGAAAAUCGGUUUUCUCCCUCUGGGUUCCCGUAGUUCCGAAUGGGCAGCCCUCCGCCGUUUGGCGGUUGCCAUAGAGAUACACAAACAACAUGGCAGCGACAGGG
Molecule: long non-coding RNA, 198 nt
Organism: Sander lucioperca (pikeperch)
Lineage: Eukaryota; Metazoa; Chordata; Actinopteri; Perciformes; Percidae
Exons: 4
Source: RefSeq, a predicted model, not a curated record